UAUAAAUUAGUUUAAAUGAACAUUAAAUUUUGAAUUUAAUAGAAAUAGUGCAAUUCUAUUAUUUAUAA
RNAcentral lists this transfer RNA (68 nucleotides) under Folsomia candida. It matches the Rfam family "tRNA". Rfam says of the family: Transfer RNA (tRNA) molecules are approximately 80 nucleotides in length. Their secondary structure includes four short double-helical elements and three loops (D, anti-codon, and T loops). Lineage: Eukaryota; Metazoa; Arthropoda; Collembola; Entomobryomorpha; Isotomidae. The record is from Rfam by way of RNAcentral.